This is a long non-coding RNA of Thalassophryne amazonica, 149 nucleotides long. RefSeq lists it as uncharacterized. The transcript is spliced from 4 exons. NCBI's taxonomy places the organism in Eukaryota, Metazoa, Chordata, Actinopteri, Batrachoidiformes, Batrachoididae. The record is from RefSeq and is a predicted model, not a curated record.
CUGUAACCGCUGGGACUUCCUUUCAUCCCUCUGUAAUCUUUAGUUUCCAGCCAAACCUCUUGAUCCCUCGACAGGUAAACCGCCAGACCGCCUGAAGUCACCUGGAACCACAUGGGUAGAAAUUCACACAGUGUCACAUGGAGCGUGGG